UACGUAGGUGGCAAGCGUUGUCCGGAAUUAUUGGGCGUAAAGCGCGCGCAGGCGGUUUUUUAAGUCUGCCGUGAAAGCCCCCGGCUCAACCGGGGAGGGUCAUUGGAAACGGGGAGACUUGAGUACGGAAGUGGAGAGUGGAAUUCCACGUGUAGCGGUGAAAUGCGUAGAUAUGUGGAGGAACACCAGUGGCGAAGGCGACUCUCUGGUCUGUAACUGACGCUGAGGCGCGAAAGCGUGGGGAGCAAACAGG
RNAcentral lists this unclassified non-coding RNA (253 nucleotides) under uncultured Bacillaceae bacterium. RNAcentral describes it as "contains 16S-23S intergenic spacer region". It matches the Rfam family "Bacterial small subunit ribosomal RNA", at positions 524 to 776 of the family's 1533-position model. The record is from RNAcentral. Lineage: Bacteria; Bacillati; Bacillota; Bacilli; Caryophanales; Bacillaceae.